GACGAACGCUGGCGGCGUGCUUAAUACAUGCAAGUCGAACGAAAAGGCCCUGCUUUUGCUGCUUGCUCGAUUGCCGCACGCGUGUGUAACACGUGAGUAACCUCCCCUUGACUUUGUGGUAACUUCAGGAAACUGGGGCUCAUACCGCAUAGGAUCUUCUGCUGCAUGUUGUUGGUUGGAAAGUUUUGGCGGUUGGGGAUGGACUCGCGGCUUAUCAGCUUUUUUGUGUGGUAGUGGCUUACCAAGGUUUUGACGGGUAGCCGGCCUGAGAGGGUUACCGGCGACAUGGGGACUGAGAUACGGCCCAGACUCCUACGGGAGGCAGCAGUGGGGAGUAUGGCACAAUGGGCGGAAGUCUGAGGCAGCAACGCCGCGUGCGGGAUGACGGGCUUCGGGUUGUAAACAGCUUUCGACGGUAACGAAGAGUGAGUGACGGUAAUGGGUAAAGAAGCAACGGCUAACUACGUG
This 468-nucleotide ribosomal RNA is filed under the name uncultured bacterium. RNAcentral describes it as "partial 16S ribosomal RNA". It matches the Rfam family "Bacterial small subunit ribosomal RNA", at positions 28 to 507 of the family's 1533-position model. The record is from RNAcentral.